This 17099-nucleotide long non-coding RNA is filed under the name Chlamydomonas reinhardtii. Its description in RNAcentral is "long non-coding RNA (CREI_LNC000650)". The record is from RNAcentral. Lineage: Eukaryota; Viridiplantae; Chlorophyta; Chlorophyceae; Chlamydomonadales; Chlamydomonadaceae.
CCGCACACGUACUCUGGCGCAGCCAGCGCGGCGCGCCCAUUCGCGCCCCAGCGCUUCAUGCCGCGCCAGCGUCGCCAUGUGCAGCGGACCAUGCUGCUGAAAAUACAAAAUUCAUGUCGGCCGCGCAGCACCCCAUAGCCCGACAUGCUGCCGCCGGCUCCGACGCAAGCAGCUGCGGCCGCCCCAGUGUACCGCCGCCGGGCUCACGCCACGCGGCAGCCAAGGGAACAGCAGGCACCCGGACCGCUACACUGCACUAGUGCCCCGACACCGUGCGCCUGCCUGAGCCGCUGCUGUCGCUCCAUGAGCUCCACGACUGUUUCCGCUGCUGACCAGCUGCCCACUGCUGCCACCGCUACGCACUCCACCGGCAUCAAGGAAACUCGACCGCCGGCGGCAGAGCUCCAGCCCACAACAGACACGAAGCCCGCAUGCGCAGCUCGCCGGCAGCCGGGCGGCCCGCUCAGUCCGUCAGCCCCAUACGGGUUGAGGGAAGGCGCUUAGGCGGAGCCCAGGGUCUCGGGCAGGUGGGUCAGGUAGUAGGUGAUGUUCUUGCCGAAGGGGUCAGCCAGGUGGGCAGUCAGACCCUCAAUGGGCUGGGUGCGGGUGGCCAGGGCCUGGACGCAGAAGCCAAUGAAGGCAACCUGCGGGCGGACAGAAGUAGAGACAUGAGGUUAAGGAAUUCGGUCAUUCGGUCAGCUCAUAUCUGUGGGUGCAACGAUGUAGGAUUAUCUUCAUGCCAGCUACGCUGGAGGCAUGGCCAUACAUCACUGGCAUCCCACUGCUCGCAUCCCUGGGCGGACCCGUGGCGUUCCCUAUAACGCCUGUUAGAAGUGCGCAGCCCUUGCACCAGUCAACCCGACGCACCAUGGCCAGGCGGCCGUUCUUGACCUCCUUGGUGGCCAUGGACGGGGAGUUCAUGCCAGCGGGGUCGAAGGGGAAGGAGUUGAUGAAGCCGGACUGCGCGGGGGCACGAAGAGAGAGAGAAACAGACAGGCUCAGCGAGAUAGCCGGAUGCAGUGAUCGUAUCCAAUUCCGCCACGGAUACGCUGCUCGCAUCACAGGUUGCUGCCUACCGCUGACGCAGACCCCGGGGUGCCGCGUGGGCACCUCCCCACUGCGCAAGCGCCUCCGUACCUCAGCCCUUCAGCGAUCCUGAACGGUCCCGCCCUCGCUCCAGAUCCCCUGUUACAUCCCCGUGCUCGCGAAGCAGACCAGCGCCAUGUGCACCGCCUCAUCCCCACCCGCCCCGCCCCGCCCCGGCCCCGCGCCUCAUCCCCGCCCGCCCCGCCCCACCGCGGCCCCGCGGCCCCGCGCCUCAUCCCCACCCGCCCCGCCCCCCCCCCCCGGCCCCGCGCCUCGCCCUGCUCACAGUGCCGGUCUGCUUGAAGCCCUGGUAGCGCUUAAUCUCCAGGAAGCCCAUCACGAUGAACUCAAUGGGGGUCAGAGCCUGGGCAGGGAUGUCGUACUCCUUAGCGCCAGCCUCCCACCAAGCGGGGGUCACGCCCAGCAGCUCCUGGCCCAGGAUACCGGCCACGGCCAUCAUGGCCCAGCGGCCGUUGGUCUUCUCGGCCUCAGCAUACCUGAUCAAGGAGAUAGUCGGGCCAAGUCAGCGACGGGGGCAGCUCGGCAGCAUCGCGAAGAAAGAGCAAUUUUGGCACCUGUGGUAGAAACUUACCACUUGAGGCGGCCCUCGUCCUGGCCCAGGCCCAGAGGGUCGAAGCCGUUGUCACCUACAAUCCAGUGUCGGUCGAGGCUGGUCAGAUCACCUGGACUCGCUGAAACUCUUUGCGCUGAUGCCGAAUGCAAGCGACGGGAGCGUCAGUCCCCCGCAACUCCGCUGAUCGGCAUGCAAUUCGACACAUGUGAGCGCCAGCGUUCACAUUCAAGAGCUGCCGCGACUUUUCGCCUCGUCGACGCGCCAAAGUGCUGCAUUCAGCUUAGUGCUUGCCCCAUCACACUGCUCCCCGACUAGUAAAAUGUCGCCGCGGGCUCCUCACCGGCCAGAGCGCCCUUCAGGUGGGCAGGGGGGUUCAGGCCGGGCAGCCAGGUGGGGCGAGCGGACGCGGCAGCGACAACGCGCUGACCGCGGACGGGGGCACGGCGGCCCAGCGCAACCUGGCUCUUAGCAGCGAUCAUCUUUCAAUGAGCUAGGACUGGUGUGACGUGAGCGUAACACAAAGCGGUCCGUUCCGCGGAAGGGCACAAAGCCAACGCGAUUGAGAAGAUCCGGCCAUCUCGUCCGUACAUCUGCCUGUUUUCUUGGCCGGUUAAAAUGGAAGGUAAUGAUUAUCAAUUUGCGGUCAUGUUCAUCCAUUUGCUGACCUAUUUGUCCGCCCCGCCCCGCCCCGCCCCGCCCCGCCCCGCCCCGCCCCGCCCCUCCCCUCCCCUCCCCUCCCCUCCCCUNNNNNNNNNNNNNNNNNNNNNNNNNNNNNNNNNNNNNNNNNNNNNNNNNNNNNNNNNNNNNNNNNNNNNNNNNNNNNNNNNNNNNNNNNNNNNNNNNNNNUCCCCUCCCCUCCCCUCCCCUCCCCUCCCCUCCCCUCCCCUCCCCUCCCCUCCCUUACCUUAUGGGAAUCCAUGUGUGCGUCUCCAGCUAAAGAGGCGCAGAAGAUCCACACCAGUCAGCUGAGCCACGGCGUUGCUCCACACAUGGUUCAAUGGUAUCGACCGGCCCUCCAAGCUGCUCCAUUCGCUGUAGGCAGCCUUCAGCAGCCGCGCCUGAUCCUCGGUGAAGACCCGACGGCCGACCGGCUGCUGGUCAGCCACCCGGUGCCAGGCCUGCUGCAGUGCCACCAGCACCUGGGCACCGGCGUCCGGGUCCCGGGCAGCAUUGCGGCGGUCACGUGCUUCUGUGCCACCCUUGCUGGCCCACGCAGAUUGUUGCUGCAACAUAAUGAAAAUGGAAAACAAGCGGGUUGAUUGUCGGUUAUAGAGGUCAGGGUGGGCGUUUGGCGCGAAGAACGCCGCUUGCAGCAUGCUGGGCGACGGUUCGUCUGAAUUGGGCGUUCGCUCAGCGGCGGGCACCAAACACUACAUGUAAUCUAGCAGUGCUUAUGCGAUGUCAAAUGCCCUACUUCCCAAGCACGCUGGAGCGGACCCCUGGUUCGCUGCGGCGUGCCUGGGGCGGCCCCGCCCUGCACGCUGCAACAACUAGCCAAAAUAAGUUGGACAUUCGCGUUGCAACCAGCUGGCCAAACUCAACUUUACAGCUGCGGACCCCUCCAGACCCCUCAGGUCAACAGCCCCGUACGGGGGUCUGCAGCGUGGAGCUGCAGGCACGAGUCCUGUUGAAUCAAUGCAAACGUUACAUCAACUUUGGCCCGCCAGCGCCAACUCGCCAAUUACUGUCUUCAUCAGCUCAAGGGCUCCACUAAGCUUCAAUACCACUCGCCCGUGUGCGGUCCCUGGGCACGCGCAUAAUCCGCAACCAUAAGCAACCCCCACCUGCACCCGCAGCCCUGCAUCCAAUCUGCCUGCUUCUCCAGGCGUGCACACACGCAUGCCACCUGCCUCGAGCAUACAGGCUGCGUCCUACAGCUAUCUGGUGCCCUGUGGUCGUACUAGCUAGCCCGCACAAGCCUUCUAACUGCCGUGCCCUGCCAGCCACCGACUCCGCCAGCGACUCGGCCCACGACCAUGUUGUCGCAGUCCAAAACAAAAACUACCUGCCUCCUGACCGCAUACCGUGUGCCUACCGACCCUGCCGCUGCCUGCCUGCCUGACGUACCGCACAUACAUACUUACAUGCCCCCAGUAUACGCUAGUGCAGCUACUGCCUGGCCUGCUGUGUCCUACCCUGCUACUCUGUCUGACCUGGCACUCCUGGCCGAUCACGCGCACGCGUGUUUCCCACACCCCGACUGCACGCAUGCCCCCCCCCCCCAGGGCAGCUGGCUGGGCAAACGGUUUCCAUGCCGGCGGCACGCACGUCACACCACCGCGCCAGCCUACAUUGCCACGCACCCCGGGCUGCUGGCAAGCCCGCCAGCCGCGCCGGCCACAGCAGGGCUGCUGUCGGCAGGCCGCGAGGGACUGCUGGCCGUGGCUGCCGUGGGGCUUGCGGCAGCUGUGGGGCUGGCAGUCGCGUGGCCGACAGCCGGCGCAGCCGCUUGCGGCAUGGGUUCAGCCGCUUGCAGCGCCACGGCCGCUUGCGGCAUUGGUUCAGCCGCUUGCGGAGCCACGGCCGCUUGCGGCAUGGGUUCAGCCGCUUGCGGAGCCACGGCAGGCACCGCUCCUGUAAGCCCCGCGCGCUCCGCAGCGGCGUCGGCAGCAGCUACGGCGACUGCAACCGCGCGGUCGUAGGCCGCGGUGCCGGGAACGGCGGGCGCGCCUACGCACAUGCGGGCUGCGGCAGCGACGCCACCCCCCAGCUGCUGCGCAGCUGCCGCUGCCGCAGGCACCGCCAGCACCAGCCGCGGCAGCGGCAGCGGCGCAGCCGCACCUGCCGGGCCGCCGUGUGCUGCCGCCGGAGGCGCCGCCCUGCCCCUGGCAGGCUGCGGUGCUGCUGCUGCUGCUGCUGCUGCUGCUGCUGCUGCGGCGUCGGCUCCUGCUCCUGCCCCUGCUGCUGGCCCCGCCGCCGCGACCUCCAGCUGCCGCUGCACGUGCUUGUUCAGCAGGGCCUUCAGGGCGAGGGUGGCGGCCCGCACGAUGGGGUGCGGGUUGCCGCGGGGCUGCGCGGCGCACGUGAUGUUCAGGUGCCCCGCCACUCCCGCCUUGGCGACCGUUGCCUUCAUGCGGCAGCCGUGUGAGUGGGCCCUGCGCACGCCAGGACAGGACAGCCAGGGGGCGAGCGGGGUCCGGGUUGGGGUUGGGAGGCGCGGAAUGGUGUGGUGACAUGGCGACAGGGCAGGACUGCAAGGGCAGGGCUGCGCAGGGAGGGCAAGCAUGCCGUUGCUGUCAUCGCCGGCCAGCUGCCUGCUGCGCCAGCGCCGAGCACAAACCCGCCUAAAGGCAAAGUAAGCCUCACAGCCGCUCAUGCCAGCUCCCAAACAGCUCCCAUCCGUCCGCCCAUGCCCCCCAUGCUACCGUACUGCCGUAUCCCGACGGACCUUCACCCACCCUAUGGGCUGGCGGUUGGCUUCGGGGUCCCGUGUCUCCGCUGAACGGCAUGUACUAGGGGCGCCCCCACCACCAUGAGUCCAUGACACACACAACUACACUGUACUCACAGACGCUGUUUCCCUUCACAACACACACACACACACACACACACACACACACACAUACACACACGAGACUCACAGCAAGUGCAUGGCCUGGAACUCGGGCGUGUUGAUGGCCUUGGCGACGGACAGCCAGGCACACGCAUGCUCCAGCGCGUUCUGGGGGUCCGGCGACCUGCGCACCGCCUCCAGGGCGUGCAGAUCCAGCUGCACCCGGGCCCGCCUCUGCUUCGCCCCGGGACGCCCCUUUGCCGGCAGCUCCUCCACUUCAAAGUCAACCUCGCCUGCGCUCCCGUAGCCGUAGCCGUCGUCAUCGCCACCGGCCGCAGCUCCUCUGGCACCGGCACCGGCGCCAUGGCCGGCGCCAGCGAGCGGCAUCGCUGCCAUGGCCGUGCCGCCGCCGUGGCUGCCGCCGGCCUGCCCGGCCUGCGCCGCCAACCCAUGUGCAGCCGCCCCUGCGGCCGCACCGCCGGCCGCCGCAGAUCCGCCUGGGGCGGCUGCGCGCUGCUCGGCCGCCGCCGCCGCCGCCAUGAGCGCGAGGGUCCGCGGAUACUCUGCCGGGGGCGCUCCGCCCGCAGCGCCCGCAGCGCCCGCGCCACCCGCGCCGCCGGCUUCGCCCUGUGCCAGCGGGUUCACCACACGGUGUUGGAGCAGGAGUGCGUCUAACCGGGCACGGAGGGCGGCGCAGGCGGCGCGCACCGCCUGCUGCGGGUCCACGUGGUGCAUGCGCGUGGCGCGGCUGAGGACCAGUUCGGCGGUGUGCACCUCGUUAUUGCGGAGCCGCAGCUGCACCUUGAGCUUGCAGCCGUGCUUCUUGGCGCUGCAGGACAGCGGGAGCGGGGGCGGGGCGGCAAGGGCCGUCAAUUGCAGGACAGAGUGAUCAGGGGCGGGGCGGGGCGGUAGAGCAAUGCAGGCGAAAGGGGUGGAGGUGAGAGGGAGCCUGGGUGCUGAGUCAGGAGGCGGCUGGGCAGGCCCCUGCGCCCGCAUCACUGCCACAAUACCCGAAUGCCAUCGGCUCAAUCUUGACGCCCAGCCCACAGUCUUGCGCCUUCCAAGCUGCCCCUUCCCCCAACCCCGGAGCGCCCAACCGCCCGCCCGCCCGCGCCCCUCCAGCGCUCGCCGGCUCCGGCCCCGGCCCCCGGCCCCGGCCCCGGCCCCAGCCCCGGCCAUGGCCCCGGCUUCGGCCCCGGCCUCACAUCUGAGAGAGACUUUUGAAGUCGGGCGUGUUCCGAGUCCGUUCCCACACCAGCCAGUUGUAGACCAGCCGCAGCGCCUGCGCGGCGUCGCCCGCCGCCUGCACCGCCUGCAAUGAGGCCAGCGGCACCGUGUCCCGCGCGCUGCGCUUGGGCUGCCGCGCCCUCAGUCCCCGACCCUGCUGGUGCUGCUGGGGGUGCUGGUGAGGGUGCUGGUGGUGGGAAUGGGGCAGCUGGUGUUUUUGAUAGGGAUGCUGCUGGUAGGGAUGCUGCUGAUAGGGAUACUGCAGGUGGGGUUCCUGGAGGUGUUGUUGCAUGGGCAUGUCCUCCACAAGCACCACGUCGUCACCAUCCUCGUCCUCAUCCUCCUCGUCGUCCUCGCCACUGUCGUCCAGGAUCUCAAUGGCGUCGUCCUCGCCGCCGCGGCCAUCACCCUCGCCCGCCGCGCCGGCGGCACCGACAGCGGCAGCGGCAGCGACAUCGCCACCGACACCAGCAGCACCGCCGCUGCCGCCGCCGCCAGCACCCGGCACGUCAGCAUCUCGCUCGUGCCGCGGUGCCUUGGCGGCGGCGCCGCCCUCCGGCUCCUCCAGCGCCUCAGCCUUGCGCUUUGCACCCACCACCGGCAGCGCUGUCGCCGCCAUCGCCGCAGCCGCGCCUGCAGCCGCGCCUACAGCGCCAGCAACACCGGCUGCCCAGCCCGCCCCGGCCUCGACCUUCAACGGGAGGCCCGGCUGCAGCUGCUGCGGCCCACUGUCUGUCAGCAAAAACCUCAUCCAUGGCCCUGGCCCCGCGCCUGCGCCCGCGGCUGCGCCCACACCCGCACCCGCACCCGUGCCCGCGCUCACACCCGCGCCCGCGCCCGGCCCUGCAGCUGCAGCCGCUCUUGCAGCUGCAGCUGCGCCUGCUGCUGCUGCUGCAGCGCCUGCCGCAGCGCCUGCCGCUGCGCCCACGCCCAUGCCAGCGGCCGCUGGGCCGCCCCUGCCUGCGCCCGGCCGCGGGUACAGCGCCGACAGCAACAUGUCCGCGGCGCGAGCACCGCCCUUGCGGGCGCCGCGUGUGCCGCGACCCCAGAGCGGAGCGCUGUGGCGGCCGCCGCCGCUGCCGCCACCGCCACCGCGCUGCGGCUGGUGGUGCUGCGGCUGCUGCAGCUGCGUUGGUUGCUGCUGGCGGGUGCCGUGCUUGCCGAGCCAGUAGGUGAGAAAAUCCUGCCACUCCGCGUGCCAGGCAUUGGCGCGGCCGCUGAUGGCCUCCCUGCGCGUGCGGGUGUGUGUGCGUGUGGCGCGGGAGGGCACAGCCGGGCAUUGGCGACUGGAAGACCGUAUUCAGGUGUCCCCAGGGAUCUCCUGCAGCCGCCGCCAUGCCGCCGCCCCCACGCCAUCGCCCCCUAUCGCCGGCCCCAUGCCACUGCCUCCUAUCACCGCCCCCCAUCCCAGCCGUGCGCCCCAAGUACCCGCCUGCCGCACCCACAGGAGUUUGCCGCUCGUCACAAAGGCGGGGUGCAGCACCUCCACGCACAUGCCCGCGUCCAUGGCCUUGCGCACACGGGAGGUGAAGUCGUCGUCGCCCGUGAUGAGCACGAGCACGCCCUGUGCCGCGCGGCCGGUGGCGAUCUGCCGCUCAAUGAAGCCGUCAAUUUGCUGCACAGGAGGGGCACGCAUGGCGUUGAGAGACGUGCGGGAUAAAGGAUUGUAGCACGUGUGGACAGGGCCACACACGCCACGCUUGGCCCGGGCGCGUUCCCGGCUCCUUUGUGCCCGCGUGUGCCUCAGCAGUCAUGAACGACCCGCACGGGCCUGCAAGCCCCUUCGUGCGCAGGCAUAGGCACCAUGCACAGGUACCCAGGCACACACCUUGAGCAGCUUCUCAUCAGUGGACGUGCUCUUGGGGCCGCCCGACGCGAGGACCACAGUGACGUUGUUGCACAGGUAGUCAACCUGGACGUCGCCGUGCGCGGCAGCCAGCGCGGCCAGCGACUUGCGCGUGAGCGCAGUCAUGAAGGCGUGGCACUUGCGGCGCGGCAGGAUCUGGAAGGCGUUGGAUAUCGCCCUACAGGUGUGUGUGCAGCGCGCGGGUUGCGAGGGGGGAAACGGGUUGGGCUGGAGGAAGACGCAGAGCCUACGCACCUCUCCACCUCCGCGACGGGGACGUUGCUGGGUAGCUGCGCAUUUUCUAUGUCCCACGCGAUAAGCACGUCCUUCUGCACAGCCCCGUCGCGCGAGUCCGCCUCCAGUCGCUGCAAAUUGGCAACGAGCGGGUCCACCGGCUGCCCAUCUCUCUGGGGCUCUGUUUGCAUUGACCCCUCCUAUUUCAUAUUAGGAGAUAAGCUAACCUAAUAUUGCGUUGGGCUUGGCGCAAUUGCAUUUGCCUCAUUCACGCCGGCUGCCCCGGCUGCAGCAUUCUCCUGACAGAAGCAAGAAUAUAAGGGAAAUCCCGGUUGUCAGGUGCACGGUGGAAAACUAUGAUACAUUCCCCUUCCAAGGCCUAAGAGCCCAAAGGCCGGUUGUCUGCGUCAUGCACGAUCGCCCCGACACGCAGCAGGCCGAAGUAACCCAACGUGCAAGUCCCCAAACCACGCAUCCAACCAUGUAUCCAGCCUGUGAACUUGGUCACCUCACCCGCUCUGAACCAGUCACUUCCUUGUUCAGCCCCCUUGCACGCCCCUGCGACGCAACCUGGUGUGCAUGUUGGGUCCCGUCCCUCACCAGUACCCUGCACUUGCGGGUCCUUGUCAUUUCAAUCAGAAGUAAAACAUCCAGUAUCAUCACCAAAGGCAUCAGUCCCCAAUCCACUGCCCAUCAUGCUCGUCAUCGAGUCGCCGUGCUGUGAACCCACGCCUCACGCGAAGCGGUACCCGCAAGCCCCACGUCCCUUUACAGAGCUAACAACUCAUAAAUCCUGCCAUUAACGCAUACUUUGACCGCGGCCUUACGGGCUGCCGCUGACCUGCUGCGCAUGCGGCGCGCAGCGCGGCGGGCCGCGCCGCUGGCGCGCAAGCGCCUGGUGCCGCUGCUGCCGGCUGCUGCGAUUCGCCCAUUGCCCCGCCGGCGGGUUUUACCGCCGGCGCCCCUGACCGCAAGCGCAUUGCCACCCUUGGCUCUAACCUCAACGCCACCCGAGGCUGCUAGCGCCUGGUCCAGCAUUGCGCGGAGCUGGUUGGCAGCGAGCUGUGCGGCCCGCUCUGCUGCGGGGCGGGGCGCGCCGCCGUCCAAACACGUGAGCAUGACACGGGUCCGAUGACCGGUGGCAGACCGUGCCUCCACCUUGAAUGCACAGCCAAGAUCAAGCGCCCUGUGAGCGAUUGCAGGAACAGUGACAUGGUAUCCAAAGUGCACAAUACGAGUGCCACGGCAACCCGGAUGUACACGGUACGGUAUGCCAUCAACGAUUCUGCACCGCCCGCACUGACCGCACCCGAAGCAAGGUUGGUUGCGCGGUGUGUGUUUACCAUCCCUCCACCGUCUGUACCUGUCCCCAACUCACUUCUUUUGAAGGCUGGAGUACAGGGCGCUGCGGGUGCGCUUCUGCUCCACCAGCCACCGCCGCACCGCCCCCAGCGCCUCAGCCUUGUCGGCCGCCUGCCUCACCACAUCAAGGCUGGACAGUAGCAGCGUGGCGCGUGCGGGUUUAGGUCGGCGCUGCUUCGCUACCUGCUGCGCCUGGGCGCUCAGCAGCCGCCGUCCCCGCUGCCGGGCCCCCUCCAUCCCCUCCUCCUCCACCUGCAGCCGCUGGUGACCCCUGGUGCCCGUGGCAGCAUCACAAGCACUGCUAUCGCCUCCCGCCGUCGCCGUCGCCGUCGCUGGCCCUUCGCAGUCCGCUUCACGCCGCUGCCGCGCCUUCACCGUGCGUCUGCCACUGGUGCCGUGCGGCUGCUGGGUCUCGGCCUUGCGCUUCUUGCCAAACCCCGCUGCCGCCCUCACCGCCACACCGCCGCAGGGCGGGCGGACCCCCCUGCUGCAGUGCUCCACCCACAGCACCUCUGCCAGCCGCUGCACCUCGUCGCCUCCGCCGCACCUUUCGCAGCUUUCGCCGCCAUCUCUGCAGCCGCCACCGCCUCCGCUGCCUCCGCUGCCUCCACAGCUCCCGCAGCCGUCGUCCCGCCGCUGUUGGAUGCGCUCCGCGUUAAUGCUCAGCAAGCACGCCAGGUCCCGCGCCGGCAGGCUGGUCCGCAGCAGGCCCUCAACCGCCGCAACCUCGUACACCGGGUAGCGGGGCACCAGCCGCUGCAGGUGGGGCUGCUGCCGCUGCUGGGCGCCGUCGUUAUCGUCCUCCACGUCAUGGGGGGGCACCAGCCGCUGCACGUGGGGCUGGGCGCCGUCGUCAUCGUCCUCCAUGCCAUCAGGAGUCACGACGACGAUGUCACCAGAACCCGGUAGUUGCGAGCGCGGCAGCCCCAGUGCCGCCUCCACUGUGAGGAGCGCGCUGGCCGCAGCCCGCAGCAUGCGCUUACGCAGCUUCCGCCACCGGUUCUUGGUGCAGCUGCGAACGGUACCGGCAGGGAUCGCGGCCAGUUCUGUGAAGCCCUGCCGCUGCAGCAGGGCUCGUAGCGCCCGGGUAGACAGCUCCCCGACUGCCACCACCGCGCUGCCGGCUGCCGCGGCUGCCGCUGCGCCGGCUGCGGCUUCAUCUGCUGUCGACAGCAGCAGCCGCUGCUGCAUCUCAUGGUGGCCAGUAGCGUCCGGCCCGUCCUUGUCCGGCCCCUCCUCCUCGGCCCACUCCUCAUCUUCCGCCUCCUCAUCUUCCUCCGCCCCGGCCUUCUCUUCCUCGUCUUGCUCGACCUCCUGUCCCUCCUCUUCCAGCUCGUCUGGUUGCUCCCCCUCCUCUCCAGCGACUGCAGCUGCUCCCUGCCUGCGCUGAUCGUCGCCGCCGCCGACGUCCAUGCGGUCGCGGCCGCCAUCAGCUGCCGGCCGCGGCUGAAGGCCCAACCAGUGGCGAACGAAGUCUGUCCAGUCAGCGUGCCACACAUUGGGGCAGCCACGGAUGGCCUCCCUGCAGACGGUGGCAGAGGGGGUCAUCGCCUGAAGCUCCAAGACCAAAGUAACCCAAGCCUAAAAUUACCUAACGACAGGAUGGUGCAGGCGCCCAAGACACAGCUUGCCCCAUGCAGGAAAGACCUGCUUCCACCUAGCACGACGCACGUACGGUAUGUAAACUCACAGCAAGUUGGGGCUAGUGUGUUCGCCCGGGUGCAGCAGCUCCAAGUCCAUGCCGGCGUCCAGGGCCCGCCUUACACGUGGGGUGAAGUCGUCAUCGCCAGUGAUCAGCACCAGCACACUGCGGGCGGCGCGGCCGGUGACGCACUGCUGCUCGAUGAAGGCAUCUAUGUGCUGCGAAGGGAGGGCGGGUGCAGACGCGAAAGCGGAUGGGGGAUCAGGGAUAUGUAAAGGCCCGGUACAGACGGCAUCGACAGCCGCUCGCCAGCCGGACAAGCCGCAACCCGGCCGCCCAUUCCAAGCUGCUUGCCUCUGGCGUGUUACGGUCUGCAGGCCCGUCAAUUUCUUACCCAGGCGACACGUGCAUGUAUGAUGCCGGCAUGCGCAUGCCCUGCUACCUCCGUACCUGCAGCAGCUUGGCAUCAGCGGAGGUGCUCUUGGUGCCGCCGGCCGCGAGCAUCACCGUGAUGCGGGCGCACAGCGCUGCCAGCUGCUGCUCCCGGUAGCCCUGGCUCAUGUUCCCAAGGGCGGUCAGGCUGAGCGCGGCCAGGAAGCCGUGGCGCUUGCGGCGAGGCAGGUAGGCGAAAGCGCUGGAGAUGGCCCUGGCAGGUGUGAGUGUGCGGGGCGGCGGGAUGGGGGCGGGGGCGGCAUGGGCCGGGAAAGGAAACUCGUGUGCGCACAAGGGACAGAAAGAGUAGACGAAGCGGGACGUCGUGGCGGGACGUAGAGCGGGAAAGUUGUUGACGAGUUCAGAGGCCAGGGGGGUCAGUCCCUAACAACUGCGCCGGCUGGCAGAUUCGUUCUGGCUCCCCCCCCCCGAGCAAAGUUUGCUUGACUUUUGGGACUCGGGCACAUAACCCCCCCCCCCCCCCUCCCGCGUACACACGACUCACUCCUCCGCCUCCACCAGCUGCACUCUGGCAGGGGGCUUGGCGUUCUCAAUGUCCCAUGCGAUCAGCACGUCCUUCUGCAGCGGCCCAUCCCGCCAACCAGCCCGCAGAUGCUGCAGGGGACUGCUGGGCAGGAGCUCCGGGGGGCUGUUGCUGCGCGGCCGCUGACGCGAGCGGGCCAAGGCGCGGGCUGCUGCCUUCGCCUGGAGGAGCCGUGGGCACGGCCGUGGGGGCCUGCUUGGCGACUGUCGGGUUGUUGCCUUCCGCCCUCUCUUCGCCCGGCCCUUGCCCAUUGCGCCUAGGACCUAUCCCUACAACAAUGUUAAGUAGCACUCUCUUCGCUGCUUUAACCAGAUCCAGGCAUCUUAUGUUCGCGCCUAAGCUUGCUUCAUUGCCAUCGCCUGCUUUGCAAGACCGUGGCGUCCAGUGGCUUCCCGCUUAGCAACUCAACGCUGUCGUCGUAGUUUGUUGCUUCAUGUAUAAAAAGCUGUGCUGCGAGCGCGACACGACCCCACGUUCAGUCGGAUUUGCUCCGUCACGGGUCAUUGGGUUACGGAGAGAGGUGCACCAUCAUACGCGCCAUACCGAUGUGGGUUAAGCUGCACACUGUUGCGGCCUUAUGCGCCAGUACUUGUAAUCCGCAUCCUCAUGCGCAUUGUACCCAUUGAUGCGGACGCUGGGUCGCUGGCCCCAAAAGAGUGCCGCAUCUCUGAGCUCUGCCCAUCAAGCCUCCAUCUCCGUGCCUAUCCACGACCCCCAACUUGCCGCCGCAUCUCUAAGCUCUGCAUAGCACGCCUCCAUCUGACCAUCUCCAUCUCCAUCCCCAUUCCCAUCCCCAUCCACGACCCCCGAUCGCCUCGCGACAACUUGGCAUACUGCGACAACUUGGCCUUGCAAAACCCGGUCUCGCGGAGGCCUUCGACGCGUGCUGUGCAGAGGCUGUAUGUACGUAGCCGCUACUCAAUGAGACAACUACAGCCGCGCCCGAGAGGUAGGUGUGUUGUGGCACUUAGUCCCGAAAGCGUCCCGAACCCAUCCCUGAUGCCCCGUGCAGUCCGACAACUCGUCAUCCACAGAGGCGGCUCUGCUUACCCUCGCUCGCCACUCCGUACUGCCGCAGCAUCAGCAGACGGGGUCCCUCCACUGGACUUGCUCGUGGCGGUUGAGGUAGCGCUGUGCAGCGGAGCCCUGCUCCCGACCCGCUCCUGCCGCGGCCGCUGCUGCGCCUGCGCCUGUUGCCGCUCGGCUCUUGUGCGCUGGUGUGUCGGGCGCCACCGCAGCUGCCGCCGCCACCGCGUGCGGCCCUGUCGCGGGCGUGGAUGCACGCCGCAGCCGCACCUCGUGUGGGCGGCCUGGCGUGCACAGGCCCGGAGGCGUCGACGUCUGCGGCGACUGCCGGGUUGGCUUCUGCAUCUGCAGCGUCGGCUGACGCUGCUGCUGGUGCUGCUCCGGCUCUGGCGGUAGCAGUGGCCGCUCUGCGGGCUGCCGCCGCGGCGGCUGCGGUUGCAGCGGCUUCGCUUGCUGUGCGCCCUCGUGACCCUGAACAGCAGGCGCGGCGCCGGCGGUGCCGCCGUAAUCAACGCCACGACAUGGCAUGUUGGGUUUGUGCGCCUCGGCAUUGCUGCCGCCAUCCAGCAGCCGGGCCUUGGCGGCAACCCGUCUUCUGCCGCUGCCGCUAGGGCUCUCUGCAUCGCAGCAGCCGUCAUUGCCGUAAUCGACAUCCGGCGCUGCUGCCCGCCGCUUCUUCCCGCCGGCCUUGCCAUCACCCAUGCCAUUGCGAGUGUCAGGCGCCGCCGCCGCUGAUGGUGCAGCGCCUCCGCUGGCCACCGCGGCCAGUGGCCGCAAGGGCACAUGCAGCGCGUCGACGGCGGCGGCGGUGGGACAGACAUGGCCCACGUCCUUGCGAGCCGCCGUGCGGGCGCCUGCGCCGUCUGCUCCUCCCCCAUCCUCACGACCCGCUGGGCCCACUGCGCCUGCUGCACCCGCCGCGCCGGCUGCUGUUGCGUGCCUGCGUGAGGGUGCCUUGUGCGGCCCGUGCGGCUGCUGCGGCACAGACCACGACCCCGCUACGUCCUGCGGGAGGAGCGGCGGCGCCCGCGGCGGCGGCGCCGGCGGCAGCAGCAGCUGGGGCUGCUCCGCCAGUAGCAGGAGCAGUUGUGCACGCAGCUGCCCCAGGGCCAGGCGCAGGGCGCCGCGGGGGUGGCACUCCGCGGCGGUGGCGGUGGCGGCGGCAUGGUGCCGGAGGAAAAGCGUGCCGCCGUCGCAUGGGCUGGCUGUGAGCCCGCAGCCCACGCGGGCAGCCCUGUGUGUUUCGUGAUGCGAGGGGCAGCCGGGAGCCGGGUACGGCAAGAUCAGGUGUGGCAAUGCGUGAGUGGUGCGCAGUUCUGGAAAUGCAAGGUCCAUUCAACCACCUACCCAGCCACCUCCAAAGCACCCAUGCCUCCGUUCUGCACUUCCGAUCAUACAAUGGACGAGCUUGGCAGUUGGUCUACACUGCAUACAAAGCCGUGCCGGUCUACAACUUGCGUGCACCACGCCACUCACAGUUGCUGCAGACGUGCGAAGGCGGCGCCGCCGGUCCGCUGCUGCGCCAGCAGCCAGCCGGUGACGCCCCGUAGCGCGGCGGCGGGCUCGGGCGCCGCCUGCACCGGCAGCAGGCUGUCCAGGCGGAGUGAGGCGCGCGCCAGCAGCACCUGCUGCGCCUCCUCCUCCUGCUGCGCCUCCUCCUCAUGCUGCAGCUGCUGCUGCUGCUGCUGCUGCUGCAGCGGGUCCUGCUGCUGCUGCCACUGCAGCGGAGGCUGAGGCGGCGGCGGCGGCGGCAGCAGGUGUGCCAGGUGCGGCGGCAGCGACGGCAGCGGCGGCGGCGGUUUCGGCGGUGGUAGUGGCGCCCCCGCCAUUCGCAAGCACCUGCCCGGGCGGUAGCCAAAACGGCCCACGCUCCCGGCAGCGCUAACGUCUCCCGCUGCUACUGACACACCGGCGCCGCCGCAGCCGCCGCCGUAGCCGUCACCACCGCCGCCACCACCCUUGCAGCCGCAAAACCGCCCGAAUGCACCGCGGUUGCUGCCGCCGCAGCUGUACGCUUCACCGCCGCCCCCAGCUCCGCGACACUGCGUUGCCAGCGGCUGCUGUUCCACACUGCCGCCAGAUGAAACCUCGCCGCCGCCACCGCCGCCGCCGCCGCCCUGACAACCGCCGCCACCCGCCACGCUGCCGACAGAGGCCGCGGCGCCCCCCGCGCUCGCCGCCGCUGUGGGCGUGCGCGGCGCCAUAGCAUCGUCUGGCGCGGCGGCGGCGCCGCCGCCGCGGGAGCCGCCGUUGCUGGCGCCCUCUGACGCUGCGCAGCCGCCGUCGCCGCCGCCACCACCGCUUACUUGCCAUGAUACGGCGACGCCGGCCUCGUGCCCACAGCAGUGCUGCCGCUGCUCGGGCUGUUGCUGUUGCUGCUGUUGCUUUUGCUGUUGUUGCUGCUGUUGCUGCUGCUGUUGUUGCUUUUGCUGUUGUUGCUGCUGUUGCUCUUGUUGCGGGUGGUGGUCUUGGUGGCCCUGGUGGUGCUGUUGUUGCCGCUGGUCGUGUUGCUGCGGCUGCGGCCGCAGUAUCGACGGCAUGGGUAUCUCCGGGUGCAGCCGCUCUGGCUCCACAGCCUGUGGCAGCUGCGGCGGCUGCACGUGCGGUUGCGGCUGUAGCACACGCGGCUGCGGCAUGAACGGCUGUAGCAGCGGCGACGCCCACUGCGGCAGCUGCAGCAGCCCAGCGAACGGCGACGAGCCAGGCAACAGCGCCUGCAGCGCCGGCGACAAUGGGCUGCCGAGGUGCACCAGCGGCGUGUGUGGAAAUGGCAGUAGCUGGCCAAACCCCGGGCCCGGGUGCAUGAACGGUGUCGGCGGCCACUGCGGCUGCUGCGGCAUCCCAGGGCCGCGCUGUGGUAUUGCCAUCGCCGCCGGUGUCUGUGAGUUCAGCAGCACGGCGGCGGCGGUCGCAGCGGUCGUGGCGGCGCUGCCGGCGGCGGCCUCCGUGCUCAACAGCGGCUGGGUGUUGAGCAUGAACUGCAGGAACUGCUGCCAAUUGGCGUGCCAGGCAUUGGCGCGGCCAUUGACGGCGGUUCUGGCGAGCGAGACGAGGCAGAGGAAGGCAAAAGUUCAAUUGUGUUUGGAGGUGCAUCAAGCGUUCUGUAACUGAGGGGAUGAGUAACGUGGAACACGCCCGACCCAUAUCUCUGCAGGCGGCAUGCGCACGGGGUGCGACCCGACCCACAUCAGCCGACCUCUGUGAGCUGUGGUGUGGGUUCCGCGCCUAUGCAUCCUCCUGUGCCCCCGCCUGUACACCGCCCCUCUCCCUCCCCCAGGCUCCCCCCUCUCCCUCCCCCGCCCUCCUCGCUGCUGCCACACACACUCUCCACCGCCCCACGGCCCCCUCCCCCCCCCACGCCCCCCCCCACGGCCCCUCUCCGGCCUCACUCACAGCAGUUUGCCGCUGGUGGAGCCCGGCCCCGGGUGCAGCAGCUCCACGUCCAUGCCGGCGUCCAGGGCCCUGCGCACCCCCGUGGUGAAGUCGUCGUCGCCGGUGAUCAGCACCAGCACGCUGCGGGCGGCGCGGCCGGUGGCGCACUGCUGCUCGAUGAAGGCGUCGAUGCUCUGCGCGGAGGAUUGGGGGGAGGUGGAUGGGGGGGGGGAAGGGGAUCGGGGGAGGAGGGGGCAGGGG